UCUGUAGCUCAGUCGGUAGAGCAGAGGACUGAAAAUCCUCGUGUCGAUGGUUCGAUUCCAUUCGA
This 65-nucleotide transfer RNA is filed under the name fish gut metagenome. It matches the Rfam family "tRNA", at positions 6 to 65 of the family's 71-position model. Rfam says of the family: Transfer RNA (tRNA) molecules are approximately 80 nucleotides in length. Their secondary structure includes four short double-helical elements and three loops (D, anti-codon, and T loops). Further hydrogen bonds mediate the characteristic L-shaped molecular structure. tRNAs have two regions of fundamental functional importance: the anti-codon, which is responsible for specific mRNA codon recognition, and the 3' end, to which the tRNAs corresponding amino acid is attached (by aminoacyl-tRNA synthetases). tRNAs cope with the degeneracy of the genetic code in two manners: having more than one tRNA (with a specific anti-codon) for a particular amino acid; and 'wobble' base-pairing, i.e. permitting non-standard base-pairing at the 3rd anti-codon position. The record is from RNAcentral.